Molecule: long non-coding RNA, 550 nt
Filed under: Pan troglodytes (chimpanzee)
Lineage: Eukaryota; Metazoa; Chordata; Mammalia; Primates; Hominidae
Description: long non-coding RNA NONPTRT004389
Source: RNAcentral
CCGGGCUGGACCCGAGACCCCACAGCCGCCCCGAUCUCAGCUGCGUUGGGCACGGGGUGGGGGCAGCUGAACAUGAUUUUCCACUUUGUGUCCCCAAUCAGACCUGCCUGACCAGUGCACGCCCAACCCCUGCGAUAGGAAGGGGACCCAAGCCUGCCAGGACCUCAUGGGCAACUUCUUCUGCCUGUGUAAAGCUGGCUGGGGGGGCCGGCUCUGCGACAAAGAUGUCAACGAAUGCAGCCAGGAGAACGGGGGCUGCCUCCAGAUCUGCCACAACAAGCCGGGCAGCUUCCACUGUUCCUGCCACAGCGGCUUCGAGCUCUCCUCUGAUGGCAGGACCUGCCAAGGUAAGGCCCUGGGGUGAGGCCUCUCUCCUCUCUCCUCUCCCCACCUUCUAUUUUUGGUCAUGUCUGCUCUUCUGCAGGCGGCUGCUGCUGGCUGGGUUCCUGUGGUUCUGGAUGGGAUGGGGCAUCCUGCAGAGACUACACAAGCCCAGGCCAGCCGCAGCACAGGGAGCUGCUCGGCACCGCACCAGGAUGACUCACCCGGC